UCAACCCCACACCGCUAUCUCCUUCCCGCAUCGAUCUCCUUUCUCCCCACCACAUCUCUCGUCAGUUCGUUCCAUGGGGCUCCGUGGUUAAUCCCGACUAUGGCCGCCGCGAGAUCAACCUUCUCCAGCAACAUCCGGCACCGGAUUCGGGUUCCACUGCCGGCACCUACCAUGGGGGGCACAUAGAAGGCCGCCGGCGGCGCGACGGUACCAUGAGGCCGACGAGGAGCGGGGGCCGGAUCCACUGGCCGUCGGGGGGUGGCUAAUCUGGCGAGGUUCCUCGAUCCUGCCAACCAGAAGCCCGUCCACCGACAUCCUGGCUGCCCCGGCAGCCGUGGUCGCUGUUGGUGUCUCCGUUCAGCACGGGCACCAUGACGGGUCAUCACACAAGGUUGUCGCCGGAUCCGGCGACACCAAGCCUGACUACCACCGGAUCUGAUCGUCGGCCUCCUCUGCUACUUCAAUUUCAGGAUUUUUGAAUGUUUGUGACAGAUUGCAUGUGUUGUAGUUUUUUGAAAGAGACCAAAAUCUAUGAAAUUACUUCCCUGUAAUAUAUUUGAAUGCGGUGUUGCUAGUUGUGAAACAAAGUAAUGUGAAAUGGUUUGUGGCACAAUGUGAAAUUUAUAUUUCAAUCUGGUGAAACUGGAUUACUUCAA
This is a long non-coding RNA of Triticum urartu, 656 nucleotides long. RefSeq lists it as uncharacterized. The record is from RefSeq and is a predicted model, not a curated record. NCBI's taxonomy places the organism in Eukaryota, Viridiplantae, Streptophyta, Magnoliopsida, Poales, Poaceae.